CGUUUACCUUAUUUGUUAUCAGUCCGUAGGAUGCAUCAUCUCAUAGAAAUAGACUUGUCCAAAUGUGGACAGGGUGAAGGCAUCAAAUUAAAGAACUGAAUAUUAACAAAUCAUUAGGAAUUUUCUUGUUUUUAUAGGUAAUAAAAAAAAAUGUCGUUCAUUUGGAUAAAAAAACGGGAAUGCAAGACAACAGAUUAACCCGAUAUCGUUUUUCCAGUGGACGAUUCUAUUAGGUUUUUGACACGUGUGUUGAAACUUAUUUUCGUACGACGUUUAUGCAUUUUUUUCUUUAUCAGUUUUCGUGCUUGAAGAUCAUUAUUUACAAAGUUUUCUGGAAUUGAUUAAGAGCUACGCGAAUCUAUUUUUCUUGUUUCUGAAAUGAUGAUUUAAUUUCGUCUUUGUCCGUGCAUCCCCUUUUUUUUUUACUGUAAAUUACUAGACAAUGUCAUGCGUAGUUUAUAACAGCUGAGCAAUAAUAUUUCAUCAAACUAAAAUUUUAGAAAUGAUGAUAAAAUAGCAUAACAAACAUAUUGCUAGAAAGGUGAAAUAUAUAUUGAUUUUCCAUAUUUUUUUGUCUUCAAAGAUGAUUUUUUUUCUUUUUUUAUCCCGACCGACCGACCCGACUUUUUCAUGGGGAAAAUCCGUAAACCAACAAAUUAAAAAACCGUGGCCUUAUAU
This 678-nucleotide long non-coding RNA is filed under the name Mytilus galloprovincialis (Mediterranean mussel). The record is from RNAcentral. Lineage: Eukaryota; Metazoa; Mollusca; Bivalvia; Mytilida; Mytilidae.